GAGAGAGAGAUUACUCUAUAUUCACUGUUUUAAAAAUUGCCAAAAUGAAAUUUCACCCAGCAUUUUUUUUACAAUGUUUAUGAUUUCUUCUCUUAUUUUACCCUGUUAUUUCCCCCACCCAAUAUUGAUUAAAAAAGGAAUCAAGGAGUUCUCUGAGACAGAGCAUGAUAUCAAUCAUGCAAUUUAUUCUGACGUGAAUUGUAUCUUGGCAUGGUAGAGGACAAGCUGAUGCAUUUGAAGCACCAUCAGGACUGGCAGCAAGAAAACGUGGUGGAUUGAGGAGAGCAACAGUUCACGCUACCCCCUUUACUGUCACCAUAUUUUGGGGAGAAAUGAACCACAUGAUCCCAGUGAUUUAAGAACACUGACAGCAUCUGAUAUUUUGAACCUCUUUGGGUAAAUGGUAGCCGAGAUGAGGAAGAAAAGAGGAAAAUGAAGCAGCAGCAAGGCACCUCUCCACCGUGCCUGGGUCCAGCUCCAGCUGAGAGCCCCCCUCCCUCCUGCUGCCAACUGUCUCUGGAGAGGCCGCCAGUGAGGGAGGAAGCAACAGCCAGGCACCUCUCCACCGUGCCUGGGUCCAGCUCCAGCUGAGAGCCCCCUCCCUCCUGCCACCAACUGUCUCUGCAGAGGCCACCAGUGAGGGAGGAAGCAGCAGCCAGGCACCUCUCCACCGUGCCUGGGUCCAGCUCCAGCUGAGAGCCCCCUCCCUCCUGCUGUCAACUGUAACUGCUGAACUUUGCAACUAAGAUUGUAGUGCCUGAAUCUACUUUCCUUUCCCCCCUCCUCCUCCUCCCUCCCAAUCCCCUUUCCUUUUGUGUCAUGUCUUUUAGAUUGUAAGCCUGUGGGCAGGGACUGUCAAGAAAUACUUUUGUAAGCCGCCGUGAGAGCCUUUUUUGGCUGAAUGGCAGCAUAAAAAUCCUUAAAUAAAUAAAUAAAAUAAAUAAAUAAACAAGCAGAGCUUCUUGAAGCAAGGGUGGGUAUAACAGGCCAAUGAACUUCUAUCCCUUUCUAUACCUGCCCUCAACCCCACACCCCUGUAUUUAAGUACAUUUGUUCUGCUUUUUGUACUCAUCAGAGAUUUGUUCUGGAUGGACUGGAAAAUCACUUGUGGUUUUUAUUUAUUUAUUUAUUUUAAACCAAACCUAUCAAAUUACCCACCGUUAAUUAAAUAACAUGAUUCUGUCCAUUGAAGCUAAUGCAUUAAAGUAUUUAAUGUUUGUUUGGUAAACUGCUUUACUAAAUGCUCCUUUGACUUUUAUUGGUAAUAAACAUUAGCAUUUAUGGCCCAUGAA
Elgaria multicarinata webbii is the source of this 1292-nucleotide long non-coding RNA. RefSeq lists it as uncharacterized. The transcript has 2 exons. The record is from RefSeq and is a predicted model, not a curated record. NCBI's taxonomy places the organism in Eukaryota, Metazoa, Chordata, Lepidosauria, Squamata, Anguidae.